ACGAGUGGCGGACGGGUGAGUAAUGCUUGGGAACUUGCCUUUGCGAGGGGGAUAACAGUUGGAAACGACUGCUAAUACCGCAUAAUGUCUUCGGACCAAACGGGGCUUCGGCUCCGGCGCAAAGAGAGGCCCAAGUGAGAUUAGCUAGUUGGUAAGGUAACGGCUUACCAAGGCGACGAUCUCUAGCUGUUCUGAGAGGAAGAUCAGCCACACUGGGACUGAGACACGGCCCAGACUCCUACGGGAGGCAGCAGUGGGGAAUAUUGCACAAUGGGGGAAACCCUGAUGCAGCCAUGCCGCGUGUGUGAAGAAGGCCUUCGGGUUGUAAAGCACUUUCAGUUGUGAGGAAAAGUUAGUAGUUAAUACCUGCUAGCCGUGACGUUAACAACAGAAGAAGCACCGGCUAACUCCGUGCCAGCAGCCGCGGUAAUACGGAGGGUGCGAGCGUUAAUCGGAAUUACUGGGCGUAAAGCGCACGCAGGCGGUUUGUUAAGCUAGAUG
This 501-nucleotide ribosomal RNA is filed under the name Alteromonas sp. WH347. RNAcentral's name for it is "bacterial SSU rRNA". It matches the Rfam family "Bacterial small subunit ribosomal RNA", at positions 91 to 594 of the family's 1533-position model. The record is from RNAcentral. Lineage: Bacteria; Pseudomonadati; Pseudomonadota; Gammaproteobacteria; Alteromonadales; Alteromonadaceae.